This 253-nucleotide ribosomal RNA is filed under the name uncultured bacterium. Its description in RNAcentral is "partial 16S ribosomal RNA". It matches the Rfam family "Bacterial small subunit ribosomal RNA", at positions 524 to 776 of the family's 1533-position model. The record is from RNAcentral.
UACGGAGGGGACUAGCGUUGUUCGGAAUUACUGGGCGUAAAGCGCACGUAGGCGGAUUUGUAAGUCAGGGGUGAAAUCCCGGGGCUCAACCUCGGAACUGCCUUUGAUACUGUUCGGCUCGAGACCGGAAGAGGUAAGUGGAACUGCGAGUGUAGAGGUGAAAUUCGUAGAUAUUCGCAAGAACACCAGUGGCGAAGGCGGCUUACUGGUCCGGUUCUGACGCUGAGGCGCGAAAGCGUGGGGAGCAAACAGG